GACACGGUCCAAACUCCUACGGGAGGCAGCAGUGGGGAAUAUUGCACAAUGGGCGAAAGCCUGAUGCAGCAACGCCGCGUGAGUGAUGAAGGCCUUCGGGUCGUAAAACUCUGUCCUCAAGGAAGAUAAUGACGGUACUUGAGGAGGAAGCCCCGGCUAACUACGUGCCAGCAGCCGCGGUAAUACGUAGGGGGCUAGCGUUAUCCGGAUUUACUGGGCGUAAAGGGUGCGUAGGCGGUCUUUCAAGUCAGGAGUGAAAGGCUACGGCUCAACCGUAGUAAGCUCUUGAAACUGGGAGACUUGAGUGCAGGAGAGGAGAGUGGAAUUCCUAGUGUAGCGGUGAAAUGCGUAGAUAUUAGGAGGAACACCAGGUGCGAAGGCGGCUCUCUGGACUGUAACUGACGCUGAGGCACGAAAGCGUGGGGAGCAAACAGGAUUAGAUACCCUGGUAGUCCACGCUGUAAACGAUGAGUACUAGGUGUCGGGGGUUACCCCCCUC
This 499-nucleotide ribosomal RNA is filed under the name Clostridioides difficile. RNAcentral describes it as "bacterial SSU rRNA". It matches the Rfam family "Bacterial small subunit ribosomal RNA", at positions 323 to 841 of the family's 1533-position model. Lineage: Bacteria; Bacillati; Bacillota; Clostridia; Peptostreptococcales; Peptostreptococcaceae. The record is from RNAcentral.